This is a long non-coding RNA of Nerophis lumbriciformis (worm pipefish), 6676 nucleotides long. RefSeq lists it as uncharacterized. The record is from RefSeq and is a predicted model, not a curated record. NCBI's taxonomy places the organism in Eukaryota, Metazoa, Chordata, Actinopteri, Syngnathiformes, Syngnathidae.
UCAAGAAGAGGCAAUGGAUGAAUGUUUGAUAUUUUCAAUGAUCAUCAAUAUUCAAGAACUCUGAAGUACUAGAGACGUCUAUAGUACAGAUGAAAGGGUAUUUAAGUUUGGUGAAACAAAAGUGGAAGAGGAAGCUGCAGGGAGUGGUGGAUCCUCCCACUGGGCGUGUUUCAGCACAUAAAAAGGCAAAGUGUAAGACAAUCACAGCCUUGUUUAGAAUCAACUUUCAGCAGCACACAACUUCAGUCUCCCUGACUCACACAACAACAACAACAUGGUCAACGUCAGAGUUGAGUACUGUGGUGCCUGAGGGUACAGGUCCAGGUAUGAAGCCCUGGCAAGGUAUCUUCAGCAGAGGAUUCCUGGCUUGCAGGUUUCUGGCAACGUUGGGAGGAGAGGAAGCUUUGAGGUGAUGGCGGACGACAACUUAAUUCACUCCAAACUCCAGACUGGAUCUUUCCCGUCUGAAGACAAGAUUGCAUUGAAAGUGCAGAAGUUGGCUAAACACAAUAUGUAAACGCUGGCUACUGGAGAACCAGAGCGUGAUGGGAGCGAGUCCAGGAGGCCGGACGCCGACUUCCUUCUUUGAAUGACUGUGCACGCUGAAAAGCAGAAAAAGGCGUGCACACGAUGUACACGUGUAGAAGGUUUUUAGCUGAUCCGGGGUCAGUGGAAUUGUUCUCAUCAUGACAGUCUGGUGUACUAAAACUCACAAGCAGUGGCGGGGAAAAAAAGACUAAUUUUGGUUCCAAACUUGUAACAAACAAUUGGUUACCAUUUUUUUCAUACCUUUUUAGUAUGAAACUAAAAAAAUAGUUGCCAAUCAAUACUUAAUGAUUUAAUUUAAUUUAACAGUUGAAACAUCUUCCUGUAACUUCAAUAAACUGCUGCAUAAACUACAGCUUUGCAGUUUUUCUUUGUAGUCUUCCCAGCAGGCACCAGACAUUAAAACAACGUUGAGACCUUGUUGAAUUAGGCCAGGGGUCGGGAACCUUUUUGGCUGAGAGACCCUUGAAAGCCAAAGAUUUAAAAAUGUAUUUCCGUGAGAGCCAUAUAAUAUUUUUUAACACUGAAUACAACUAAAUGCAUGCAUGUUUAAGUAAUACCAACAUUUUUAGAGUACAAUAAGUCUCUUAUUCUUUUUAAUAACAUUGUUAUUCUGAAGCUAACCAAUAAUAAAUAAAAUACUUCUUACCAAUAAUGCGACUUCUUGAACAGGUGCGGUAGAAAAUGGAUGAAUGGAUUAAAAUCCAUGAGAAUGUUUUAUAUUUUGAACAUUAUUUUUAACACUGUGAUUACCAGCGGAAUAAUUCAUUACUUAUCAUGUUAAGCAAUGUCAGCUAAGAUUUAUCUGAGAGCCAGAUGCAGUCAUCAAAAGAGCCACAUCUGGCUCUAGAGCCAUAGGUUCCCUACCCCUGAAUUAGGCCCUGACGUCGAGCAACUCAAACAUAACGUUGAAACAACAUGCUUUUUGGCGACGUUUAAUUAACGUUGUGUUCUGAUGUUGAUUAGACCUUUGAAAUUUGGUCAAUUCCCAACCAAUAUUCUACAACACAAAUACAAAGUUGAAACAACAUGCUUUUUUAACAACGUUUAUUCAAUGUUAAGUUGUGACGUUGAUUUGACCAUUGAAAUUUGGUCAUUUCCCAACCAACAACGUGGAUCCAACUUUGGACAUCAACAUUGCCUCAAUCCAACUAUUUUGCAACAUUGUUCAAAAGUCUGUGUUAAAGGACAUGUAUGUCUAAUCAAGGUUGUAUCAAUGUCUUGUGCUGGUUGGGUUACUAUGGUGCUAAUGGAGCAGCAUAGCUCGGUUGGUAGAGUGGCCGUGCCAGCAACUCGAGGGUUCCAGGUUCGAUUCCCACUUCCGCCAUCCUAGUCACUGCCGUUGUGUCCUUGGGCAAGACACUUUACCCACCUGCUCCCAGUUCCACCCACACUGGUUUAAAUGUAACUUAGAUAUUGGGGUUCACUAUGUAAAAGCACUUUGAGUCACUAGAGAAAAGUGCUACAUAAAUAUAAUUCAAUACAUAUAAUUCAAUAAUUGGCUUUUUGAAGUAGUGACAAAAUAAAAAAAAUCUUUACUUCAUUUCAGUAUAGCUGAAAAGGUAAAAGAAGCUAUAAAAAAAUUCAGCAAAAAGUUUGAAUUUAAAAAGAUAUUAGAAAUAUUUACACAAAAUAAAUCAAAAGUUUUAAAGCACAGAUUUGCUGCAGUUAAAUGCUAACAACAAUGGUGGUGAUGGUUAAAAAAAACUCCAAUACAAAGUAAUAGGUAUGUUCACCUUUUUAUUACAAAACAGUGACAAAUAAAUAGAACAAAAUCUGUGUUGGGGGGGCGGGGUGUUGCCAUAGCAACUAUUUGUUCAACAAUCCGACAACCGAUCGGUCCCUGGUUCAAACAUUGGGAAAAAAAGAAAUAAAGAAGGUACAUUUCACAACAAAUAGCACCGUGGUGUGGUUGUCAGGCCGCCGCCAGCUCUGCUGACCGGCCGAUAAAAACACACAAUUACAAAACACACACACGCAUGACAAAGCAUUUAAGUCAACUCCAAGAAAACAAGAAAAAAAAAAAGGGUUCCAGCGCUUAGUUUCCUUUGUUAUAAAUAUAAUAUAUUAAUUUGGACAAAUGUAAUCGAUGACCUUUGUGCUAAACACUUAUUUGAAACCCGAGUAAAAUGUAUGUAUAUAAUGUGUGUAUUAUUACAAUAUUUACUGUAUUUUCAGGACUGUAAGCCGCUACUUUUUUCCAACACUUUGCACCCUGCAGCUUAUAAAACGAUGUGGCUAAUUUAUAGAUUUGUCUUUGCUGACGGCCAUGAUGUUUUGUUUUCAACAAAUAGUUCUCAACACCAACAGAGACACUGAAAAGGUGUGUUACUGUUUGUGCUAUGGCGCCGUCUUUUGGACGAGUUAGCUCACUGCGGGUGCUGCGGGUUGAAAAUGUACUUCCUGUUUCGUGCCUUGAACCGGAACUAUAACAGUCCAUAGCAUAUCUGCUCGAAAAGGAUUCUUCUCCAGGCAACGUUUGUCAGUUUUACAAUAUAACUAAAACAAUUCAUACUUACGAGGCCGUCCCAUGUGUGAUGUCUGUAGGAAUUUUUUAAUGCAUAUUUGUGUGUGCUAUCGUAAUGUAGUCAAGCUAGUGUGUUCAGCAUUGGCCAAUAUGCUAACACGUUAUUAACUUUUGAUAUUGUUUCAGUUUCAUAAAUUCACUAAAACCUCACAGUGGAGUUAUUGAGUCUGUUGAACUGAUUGGAGAGUGAGCUUUCGCAGCUAGUGGGCUCAUGACGAUGACUUCUGUUUUGUUUGAUCAGCCGUUUAACUGCUGUGUGACAGGCACCAGUUGGAAACAAUUAAGGUAUGUAAAUAAAUAUUUAUAAAAUAUUUCGUACCGUCAUAUAUCUGCGGCUUGUAGGCCAGAUCAACUAUCCAUCCAUCCAUCCAUUUUCUGCCGCUUGUCCCUUUUGCGGUCGCGGGGGGUGCUGGAGCCUAUCUCAGCUGCAUUCGGGCGGAAGGCGGGGUACAGAGAGCCAGAGCAACUAAUAUAUGUAAAAAUAUUUAUUUCUUAAAAAAUUUGGUGGGUGCGGCUUAAAUACCAGUGCGCUCUAUUGCUCGGAAAAUACACUAAGAGAGUAAAACCCAAGAAAAAUGUAUAUAAUUGACAUACUAUUCAUCUUAUUUGCAGGCUAAAUGUAGUGACUUUUUUAAUCCAGCAGACGGCCAUUAUGAACCAUCAACACAGUCAUUAUAAUUUGUGUCAAUACAAUCAGUGAGUGUGCCAUACGCUCACUGAGACGUCAUUUACUCAUCACUACCUGUAAAUGUGGAAGUAGUGUCAAAGCGCUUUGAGAACCUUGAAGGUAGAAAAGCGCUAUACAAGUACAACCCAUAAUGUCUGAUGUUAUUUUCCAUGAUCAUCAAUGUUCAAGAACUCUGAAGUACUAGAGACGUAUAUAGUACUGACGAAAGGGACUUUAAGUUUGGUGAAACAAAAGUGGAAGAGGAAGCUGCAGGGAGUGGUGCAUCCUCCCACUGGGCGUGUUUCAGCACAUAAAAAGGCAAAGUGUAAGACGAUCACAACCUUGUUUAGGAUCAACUUUCAGCAGCACACAACUUCAGUCUUCCUGACUCACACAACAACAACAACAACAACAACAACAACAACAUGGUCAACGUCAGAGUUGAGUACUGUGGUGCCUGAGGGUACAGGUCCAAGUAUGAAGCCCUGGCAAAGGAACUUCAGCAGAAGAUUCCUGGCGUGCAGGUUUCUGGCAACGUUGGGAGGACAGGCAGCUUUGAGGUGAUGGCGGACGACAUGCUGGUUUACUCCAAACUCGCCACUGGAGAGUUCCCCACUGCCAUCGAGAUUGUAGUCCAAAUGCGGGCGUUGGCUGGAUGCAGAAUGUAAACGCUGGCUACUGGAGAACCAGGGCGUGAUGGGAGCGAGUCCAGGAGCCCGGACGCCGACUUCCUUCUUUGAAUGACUGUGCACGCUGAAAAGCACAAAAGGCGUGCACACGAUGUAUACGUUUAGAAGGUUUUUAGCUGAUCCGGGGUCAGUGGAAGUGUUCUCAUCGUGACAGUCUGGUGUACUAAAACUUACAAGCGGUGGCGGGAAAAAAUACUAACUUUAGUUCCAAACAUGUAGCAAACUAUUUUUAUCCCUUUUUUAAUCUAAAAAUAAUGUGCUAUUUGCACAAUCGAUAUUUAAUAAUCCGCUUGUUGAGACAUCUUCAUGCAACAGGGUUUCUGCAGCAAAUAUAAUGCAUGGUCAAGUAAAUGUAACGCCUAUAUCCUACUGCACAUUGUUAUUAUAUAUUAGCAAAAGCUUACUGUAUGAACAAAAUUGUAAGCAUUUCACAAACAUGAUGAAUUGUUUACAUUAACUGGCCAAAUUAGAUAGAUAGAUAGAUAGAUAAUAAAUAAAUAAUAAAUAGAUAGAUAAUACUUUAUUGAUUCCUUCAGGAAACUUCCCUCAGGAAAAUUAAAAUUCUAGCAGCAGUGUACAGAAUUGAGAUAUAAUUUGAAAAGUAAAUAAUAGGGGUAUAAAUGAAAAUAAAAUAGAAAACAUUACAAUAAGAAUAAAAAUAAAAAGCAACAAUAAUAAUAAAAAUAUAACAGUAAAAAUAAGAAUAUAACAAGAGAAACUAGGCAGUAGUGACCAUGUUAUGAAAAUGUAUUGCACUGUUAAUUGCACUGUUUUUUGUUGCCACAAUUAAAUUAAGCGGUAAUGUAAUCAUAAUACAUAAUACCAAUGCAAGUAAACCUUUCAAACAUAAUCAGCAUAUUUUUUUAACUACUGCAGUAUUUUUACUAUUCUAAUUGUAAGGUUAAUAAGGUAAUUAUCCUAAAUACAGUAGAUAAACAAACAAUAUGUACAAACAAAUAAAAUGGACUCCCAAUCUCUGUUAACAAAAAGUGCAGUUUUUUCCCCCCCUCAUUUGGAAAAACUGGGUCAGGUGCUUUGUUUUGUCUUUUUUUGUUGCCAUCAAGGUGUCCUGGAAAAAUAAAAUGUGCUGCUUCAUUAAAAAAAAUGCAAGCAGUUACAUAAUGAGUAAUGGACGAAUUUAGUUGAAAUUUUAAGAAAAUGUCCGAAAUAGGUCAUGGAAAAAGUGCUUAUGUAGUUUUUAUUAUUCAUAGAUGAGCUUGUCAAAAAUAUAUUUGACAUUCAUUCUGUCAUCAUACAGCAUAGAUGCAUUUGAGUUUAACAAGGUUUAUACCCUUUUUGUUUUGGUUUGUUUCCUGGUGUGUAAAAAAAAAAAUGCUAAAAACACCCACAAUAUACCAAGGAGUUAUUUUUACCUUCAUGCGUGCGCAUGCCCAGUAGCGUUGGGUAGCACCUUUUUCCGGUUAGCACAUUUUCUCAAACCUGACGCUCGCCAGAUCCUUGUAGUUCGCUGAGCUCCACACAAGGAUCUGGGACUUCUCAACAGGAGAUGUAUUUCAGAAGGCGGGGCCUUGUAAAAAAAAAAAAAAACAUUGUAUGUGAUUGGAUAAACCACUUGUCCGUUAUCUUGAAUGACGUGCUACUUCAAUCACUCACAUCGAAAUCAACCUGUGACGCUGAUGAGAGCGACGCUGGGAAAUCCAAAACAGAACAGCCGACAUAUUGGAUAACGACAGAGCGAAAAGUUCUCUGUUUGAAUUAAUAUUCGAUAGAUUCGACAAAACAGUUGCAAUAGCAGCGAAGGCUGCGUGCCGCCAUUGUUGUUUGAAUCAAACAGUCGCUUCGGCGCUACGUCACAUUCGUGAAACCCCGCCCAGUGAUCCUGAUUGGUUCAUUACCAGAAGGCGGGGCCUUGUGAAAGAAAAUCAUUGUGAUUGGAUAAACCACUUGUCCGUUAUCUUGAAACACAUGGAAAUCAACGAGCGACGCUGGGAAAUCCAAAACAGAACAGCCGACAUAUUGGAUAACGACAGAGCGAAAAGUUAAAGAGAACCUUUACUGAAACAACGCAGCAAUGUCAGUAGACGAUCAAUGUUGCAAAACAGUUGCAAUAGCAGAAUCAAUGUCAGCACACGCUGCGUGCCGCCAUUACCAUGAAUAGAUUAACAUGGACCCCAACUUAAAACACUUUGAAAAACGUAUUCGGGUGUUACCAUUUAGUGGUCAAUUGUACGGAAUAUGUACUGAACUGUACAAUCUACUAAUAAAAGUUUCAAUCAAUCAAUCAAA